This 63-nucleotide transfer RNA is filed under the name Onchidella borealis. Its description in RNAcentral is "tRNA-Gln". Lineage: Eukaryota; Metazoa; Mollusca; Gastropoda; Systellommatophora; Onchidiidae. The record is from RNAcentral.
UUCUCCUCGGUGUUUUGGCACAAAAAAAUUUGAGUUUUUAAGAGAUUUUAAGAUCAGGAGAAG